Non-coding RNA from Misgurnus anguillicaudatus (oriental weatherfish), 1900 nucleotides. NCBI's taxonomy places the organism in Eukaryota, Metazoa, Chordata, Actinopteri, Cypriniformes, Cobitidae. The record is from RefSeq and is a predicted model, not a curated record.
AAAAUGGGUUUUGUAGCACUGUUCAUUAUACACAAAUGUAUUUAGUUACAUUAACACAUACACAUUUAUUUUUAAGACAAAAUACAAGUGUAAUGUGUUAUGCUAAAUCAAUUGGUUAUUCACUCUGGUUUAUCUAACUACCUAUCUUUAAACUAAAGUAAUUGGUUUACUUUUGCGAUUCAAAUACCGGAUGUGACGUCAUUUAACGACUUCCACGCACGAAGACGGCGCGCAGGUGAUGGUGUUUCGGUCAUACCACAAUGACUUCUCCAGUCUGGCUAAAAGUUGUCAUUCCUUCUUCAGUGAGUGACCUGUCAAAGGAAAUAGAAAAACAAUGUAAUCUACAAGGACAUUUAAGGAUGCAGUUCAUGGAUUCUGACUUGGGCAAUUAGUUUUAAAGUGAAAUUAAAUUUACUCAAGCCCAAACCAGCUGGAAUUUCCAGUGCUGCUUACCAUAUAUAUAUAAAAAAAAAAAACAUGCAACGCUGAGGUCAACAACUGCCCUUACCAUCCACAAACGGAGACAUCCAAAACACUGGAAGUAGUCAGUGUAAUACUUCUGUCUGAAAUUAAAAAGAACAAUGAGAAAACAUUAUGAAUGCUGAUGGACAUUUUUUUUAUCAGGAGACAUGAGGUUGUCAAGAAAUCGCCUUCAAUAGCAGAUUUCAAAACUAGAUGGCCUGCUCUUUUCAGAAGGGAAGAGAUUUGUGCAGAGUUUUAAAGAAUCGCAACAGCCCCAUUGGUGUCUACAUACUUGGCGAGGAUGGAUCAAUAUUCUGCAAAGCUUAUAAGGAUCUAUGCAAAACGAGGAGUCGUCAAUUGACCGAGAAUUAAAAACCUGCUGGUUUCCACAACAUGGACUGACAACAUUGAUCAGACUCCGAUCUUUCUUUGUCUACCUGAACGAAGACCCGACCAGUCUAAUUAAAGAGUACUUGGAUACAGAUGCACCCAAUACCCAGGAGGCGAUCCAGAAGAUGGUGAUGGGAGUGCUUGUUGUAAAAAUGUAUGGUUCAGACAUCAAAGACAGCCCAGCAGAUGUUGGAGUGUUAUUGAAGGGAUUAAGAGUUCUUGGACCUCAACAACAUUGUGUAUGCGACAACCAUGUUUAUGGGACUGAUAUAUGCACUGAACUUGAGCUACUUUCCUGAAUUCAGGUACACUUUUGAAGUAUUGCAGUUGUUGUUUCUGGAGCUAGAUGGGAAGUAACUAUCUCAUAAAGUUCAGACGCUGAAGACCAAGCCUUUUGCAGAUGUUUCGAGAAAGGAAUGUUUUAAUAUUUCAUAUGUAAAUGUCAUGUUUUUGAAAUGGAGUUUUCGUGCAUUUCAUUUGUCAGUAACUGUUAAAAAAUUGUAAUGUUGUUAUAAGGUUACAUUGUAAUAUCCAAAGUCCUUAAAAACUUUGCAAGCUUUUCAAGUUGAUGAGUGCAUCUCAUUUGUUGGUAUAUCCUUUACGGUAUCUGUAGUUUAAGUGCAAUAAACAUGGCUUCAAGAACUGGUGUAUGAGAUUAUUUUUUGAAUAAUAUAGAGUUUAUUACAAAAAGUAUAUUUUUGUGUGUGAUGUACUUGAAAUAGACAUUGUUGUGUUAAAGUAACUAAAAGUAAUUGGAUGGAACCACGGUCCACAAUGUAAUUGAGUUGUAUGAAUAAACUACUCUUGAGUUGGACAAGCAAAAAAUAUUUGAUUCGUUUGAACAAGUUAAACACGUGUUCAGAAAACGUAACAAUCUUAAGUUAUGGAUAAGUAACUAAGAUAAUUUUGUUGAACAUUACCACUUCACAUUAGUUAUUUAUUAUUCAAUUGUGUUGCUGCAACAAAAGAAUUUGGCAUUGACUGAAAACAACCCUUAAAUGUUAAAAUAAAUUAACUGGGUUGUGUGGAACCACUGUACACAAUAAAA